CCCCGUCCAGACCCCCAGACCCCGGCAGCCACCCACCCCGCCCAGCCGUGUCCAGGGCCGCCCGCCUCCUCGGGCCGCUCUCCCUUCCCGUGAGUUAAGCUUGGUCAGUUGCGAAUUCCAGGGUCCGUAACAAACGGGCGUCUCCUUGAGCAGAAAGGACCAUCUGUUAGAGCAGCAAAGGGUCACACACAGAAAGAGAGAGAAAGAGAGAGGCAGAGACAGAAGCAGGCUCCAUGCACCGGGAGCCCGACGUGGGAUUCGAUCCCGGGUCUCCAGGAUCGCGCCCUGGGCCAAAGGCAGGCCCUAAACCGCUGCGCCACCCAGGGAUCCCGUAAUACAAUCUUUAGAGCACAAAGCAUAUUUACUAACAGACUCAAGUACCCUCAGCUUCUCUGCAAUAAGAAGCCAAAGGCACAAACCUACAUCCAGUAAUUAAUGCUCCGUCCUAUUUGGAAAAGACCUAGAUGUCCAACAAAUUCAAUCUCAUUUAUCAUCCAAGCAAAACUUUAAAGUCUCCAGUUAACAAAGACUUUGAAAGCUAUCUUGGCAAUUACCCAUGAAACUUUUGCGACAGACAAAAUUAACCAUCAUUUUUAGUCCUCUUUUUGCUAACAAAUUGCAACGGAGAUCACAUGAGUUUAUUUGACCUUUAGUAAAUUUUGGUAGGAUAAAAGUUUCCUAUUUAAAGCUGAUAACUCUGAAGAUAUGCCUAUCCUAAUUAAACCAGCAAACUUAAAUCAGUUUAAAUACUGAAUCAUGUUCCACCUGGGACCACUUAAAGGCCAAUCAAUUUUUCCCCCAUUGUCAGUUUUUACCUGAGGCACCAAUGAAGAAAUCUGAAGCAGACAGUGUUAAAUCCAAGGUGUUACUCUUCACUCCUUGUCCUGAGGGAACCAGGAGGAGCCAGUGGUGCUGGAGGUACUCACUUGGUAUAGGAAUCAGUUAUGCAGGCCACACCCAAGGUGGUGGAGCAACAGGAGGAGUAUGGAGGGGGGCAGUGCAGAAGAGGUAAGACAGAGGAUCCUCAUUCUAAACGUCCUGAGCUCGGACAGAGGAGCAGACGCCGUGGUUUUUUUCCACCAAAGUAGAAAUAUGCGGUUAAUCAUUCUCUGAGUUUUGUCCUAGGUCCCCAAAUACCUGAUAACAUUUAAGAGCUGGAUCCCAAACAUGUUGCAGGAUGUUAGCUUCAAGCAAAUGUCUUCUGAUGCUGGCAUCAAUACUCCAACCUUUGAUAAUUUACAGAAUAACAUCUGUUGUUCACCUGACACCUUUGACUGGACUCUUCCCUGGAUUCUGGAGGAACAAGUACCCUAGACCCUUUGCCAAAUAAGCCCCUAACUCAAAGCGAGGAAGAGACUCAUUUUCAUUUCCCCUCUGAGUCUCCCAGACACUCUGUCUGCUAUUCAUUGUCACCCACAUUAUUCAAUAAACUGUUUUCACUUUC
Long non-coding RNA from Canis lupus familiaris (dog), 1444 nucleotides. RefSeq lists it as uncharacterized. The transcript has 2 exons. NCBI's taxonomy places the organism in Eukaryota, Metazoa, Chordata, Mammalia, Carnivora, Canidae. The record is from RefSeq and is a predicted model, not a curated record.